AUACUCCUGUACCAGUUGCUUUUGUUUGAGCGAUGGAGGGACGCAGGAGGCUAAGGAAUGCACACGAUCGGAAAUGUGUGUCCUAGCAGCAAGUCUGAGAACGAGUGAAAUGCUUUUUCUCUCAAGGACAAGCUGUGAUGGGGAGCGAAAUUUAGUAGCGAAGUUCCUGAUGUCACACUGCCAAGAAAAGCUUCUAGUGAGAAAGUAACUGCCCGUACCGCAAACCGACACAGGUAGUUGAGGAGAGAAUCCUAAGGUGUGCGAGAGAACUCUCGUUAAGGAACUCGGCAAAAUGACCCCGUAACUUCGGGAGAAGGGGUGCUGACCGCAAGGUCAGCCGCAGUGAAUAGGCCCAAGCGACUGUUUAUCAAAAACACAGGUCUCUGCAAAAUCGAAAGAUGACGUAUAGGGGCUGACGCCUGCCCGGUGCUGGAAGGUUAAGAGGAGAGGUUAGCGCAAGCGAAGCUUUGAAUUGAAGCCCCAGUAAACGGCGGCCGUAACAAUAACGGUCCUAAGGUAGCGAAAUUCCUAGUCGGGUAAGUUCCGACCCGCACGAAAGGCGUAACGAUUUGGGCACUGUCUCAACGAGAGACUCGGUGAAAUUAUAGUACCAGUGAAGAUGCUGGUUACCCGCGACAGGACGGAAAGACCCCAUGGAGCUUUACUGCAGUUUGAUAUUGCGUGUUUGUAUCACAUGUACAGGAUAGGUAGGAGCCGAAGAUACCGGGACGCCAGUCUCGGAGGAGGCAACGGUGGGAUACUACCCUUGUGAUAUGACCACUCUAACCCGCUGCUCUUAGCGAGCAGGGAGACAGUGUCAGACGGGCAGUUUGACUGGGGCGGUCGCCUCCAAAAAUGUAACGGAGGCGCCCAAAGGUUCCCUCAGAAUGGUUGGAAAUCAUUCGUAGAGUGUAAAGGCAGAAGGGAGCUUGACUGCGAGACCUACAAGUCGAGCAGGGACGAAAGUCGGGCUUAGUGAUCCGGUGGUUCCGCAUGGAAGGGCCAUCGCUCAACGGAUAAAAGCUACCCUGGGGAUAACAGGCUUAUCUCCCCCAAGAGUUCACAUCGACGGGGAGGUUUGGCACCUCGAUGUCGGCUCAUCGCAUCCUGGGGUUGUAGUCGGUCCCAAGGGUUGGGCUGUUCGCCCAUUAAAGCGGUACGCGAGCUGGGUUCAGAACGUCGUGAGACAGUUCGGUCCCUAUCCGUCGCGGGCGUUGGAAAUUUGAGAGGAGCUGUCCUUAGUACGAGAGGGCCGGGAUGGACACACCGCUGGUGUACCAGUUGUUCUGCCAAGAGCAUCGCUGGGUAGCUAUGUGUGGACGGGAUAAACGCUGAAAGCAUCUAAGCGUGAAGCCCCCCUCAAGAUGAGAUUUCCCAUCACUUUAAGUGAGUAAGACCCCUGAGAGAUGAUCAGGUAGAUAGGUUGGGAGUGGAAGUACAGCGAUGUAUGGAGCGGACCAAUACUAAUCGGUCGAGGACUUAACC
This 1485-nucleotide ribosomal RNA is filed under the name metagenome. RNAcentral describes it as "bacterial LSU rRNA". It matches the Rfam family "Bacterial large subunit ribosomal RNA", at positions 1433 to 2925 of the family's 2925-position model. The record is from RNAcentral.